CGCGGGGUGGAGCAGCCCGGUAGCUCGUCAGGCUCAUAACCUGAAGGUCACAGGUUCAAAUCCUGUCCCCGCAA
Sphingomonas sp. Root710 is the source of this 74-nucleotide transfer RNA. It matches the Rfam family "tRNA". Rfam says of the family: Transfer RNA (tRNA) molecules are approximately 80 nucleotides in length. Their secondary structure includes four short double-helical elements and three loops (D, anti-codon, and T loops). The record is from Rfam. Lineage: Bacteria; Pseudomonadati; Pseudomonadota; Alphaproteobacteria; Sphingomonadales; Sphingomonadaceae.